Molecule: transfer RNA, 69 nt
Filed under: Marmota monax (woodchuck)
Lineage: Eukaryota; Metazoa; Chordata; Mammalia; Rodentia; Sciuridae
Description: tRNA.Ala
Source: RNAcentral
GUUGUGAGCUCAGUGGCAGAGCGCUCACCUAGCAUGUGCGAGGUCCUGGGUUCUAUCCUCAGCACCACA